This 429-nucleotide ribosomal RNA is filed under the name uncultured bacterium. RNAcentral's name for it is "bacterial SSU rRNA". It matches the Rfam family "Bacterial small subunit ribosomal RNA", at positions 355 to 776 of the family's 1533-position model. The record is from RNAcentral.
UGGGGAAUAUUGGACAAUGGGCGCAAGCCUGAUCCAGCCAUGCCGCGUGUGUGAAGAAGGCCUGCGGGUUGUAAAGCACUUUAAGCCGGAAAGAAGGGGCGAGGGUGAAUACCUCUCGUCAUUGACGUUACCGGCAGAAUAAGCACCGGCUAACUCCGUGCCAGCAGCCGCGGUAAUACGGAGGGUGCGAGCGUUAAUCGGAAUUACUGGGCGUAAAGCGCACGUAGGCGGUUAGCUAAGUCCGCUGUGAAAGCCCUGGGCUUAACCUGGGAACGGCAGUGGAAACUGGUUGGCUAGAGUAUGGUAGAGGAGAGUGGAAUUUCCGGUGUAGCAGUGAAAUGCGUAGAGAUCGGAAGGAACACCAGUGGCGAAGGCGGCUCUCUGGACCAAUACUGACGCUGAGGUGCGAAAGCGUGGGGAGCAAACAGG